CUUUGUUGAUCCUUAAAGGACUAUGGAACCUCCAAUGGUUUGAACAAGAACACAGUAAUUCUCUAUCAGAGACGAGUCUCGAAUUCUACAAUAGACCGGUUUAGGCAGCAGAAACAACAACAUUCACAUAUGAUGUAGAUGAUGAAGGUAGCCAGCCAAGAGAGCGAGAUUAUUUGGGUCCCCAGGAGUCCAGGUAGAUGAUCUUGGACAUCGAAUCCUCGGUGCGCCUGGCUCUCUCCACCGCUUUCUCCCCUCCUCUCCUCCACUGAUCAAUGGAAGAAGAAGACAUCCUCUUGGCCCGAGAGAACGGCGCCAUGCUGCGCUUGGCACGCCCGUGGAGGGACCUGAGCGCGUAGUUCCAUCGACACAGGCCCGCCUGAUCCUUGAGCGCCUCCACCGCCGCCACGCUCGCUGCGACGAUCAGCGAAGCCUUGCUUGCCGAAGCCAUAUGUAUCAAUCUACUACUCAGUAGUUUGAACCUGUGAUGAGUUGCAAAUGUUACAGAAGUGGGCGACGGGGAAGGGAAACACAAGCGUCCAUAUAAAGCCCCCGAGGAAGGGAAAACAGGGGAUGAGAUUGCCGCUGGUUUCGGCUCAUAGUUGUUUCCCAGAUACAAGGGGAGGCUUUUGCUUGUUUACGGAUAAGACUGUGACUGCAUUGGAAUCAGUGAGACGGAUGGUUUGGUAGGAGAAAACGUGUGGCUAAAGUAGAACAAAAGGCACACGGAUCGGAGACCUGUGGGCGGCACCAGUAAACCGGGAAUCUAACGGUUGAUCAGCCAUCCUUGCUUGGCUUGGCGAUCCUGUCGAGAUGUGAGGUUUGGUCUCUCUCUAUCUCUCUCUCUCUCUCUCUCUCACACACACAUCUUUGAGUCGAGCAACUGCGGAUGGAUUCCCUUCUUACUCCUGUUUUUGUUUCGGUAACAAAGGUCACUCAGCAUCAGUCUCUUGCUGGAUCGAUAAUAGUAUCUAUCUAAAACAAAUUCUCUCUUUUUUUAUUGUUCUUGUAUGAGCUGAAGAUAAAGAAAGGGAUAAACAUUGGUGAGAGAUGGGAGAGAGUGAUCUUUCGAAGAUGUGAUUGAUUUAGCAUAGCUUCUGCCGAUGGAUUUCAUGUCAUCCUUUGCUCCUUUUAAUCAGUUCCAUCGAAUAUAUAUGAGAUAAGACGAGAAAUGCCACAAACAUCUUGAACAAACUUAUCCAUGCCAUGAAAAGGCCUCAUCAUGUUCGAACAAUUCAGUAUAUAUUACUGCAAAAUCGGAUUGUUUUUACAUAGGAGACGUAGGCUGAACAGAGAAGAAGGAUUUGGUUCAUCUUUGAACCAAACACAAAGACACCUCUCUCUAAUUGGGACCCCAACAGCUCAAGUACACGACCGUCCUCAGUGCCUCCUCUGCUUGCUUGGCCUUCGCAUCCGCCGCCUGCCACUCUCUCCUCGUGUCGAUGGAGGAAGAUGUCCUCUUGGCCCGAGACAAGGAGCCUACGGUGUUGUUCUUCGUCCGCUGCUGCAGAGAUCUGAGGACGUAGUUCCACCGGCAUAGCCCCGCUUGGUCCUUGAGCGCUUCCACUGCGCUCAUGCUAGCCGCGACAACGAAACAAGCCCUGCUUGCAGAAGCCAUAUCUUUAGCCUAUGAAAGAACUGAUGAGUGACAAAGAAGAUCUCGGUGGAAGUAGAUCGUGAGUGUCUCAAUCUGAUGCCGAAGAAGGAGAUGGAAGGGUGUCCAAUAUAUAAGGCUACGGUAAUCGAGGAGGUUGGGAGGAGAGGGUAUGGAAGAGAAAGAGAACCGGGGUGCGCUGCUGCUGGUUUCUUGCUUCUCACUCCCCCUUCCCCUGAUACCAGCGGCCAUAUUGCUUGUUUAUUAGCUUCCACAUGGUUGGAUUUGACACCGCGAGAGUGACGCCAAGGAACUUGGCAGCAUAUGUAUCUUGGAUCUGUAAUAUGUAUAGUAUAGUAUAGUAUAGUAUAGCAUAUAUAUAUAUAUAUAUAUGGUUUCAUCCAAUAAAUUUAUAUCUGAAAUAUUAAUUUCAAGAUGAUAUACGUAUUUAUUUAUCUCCGUAAAAUUAAGCUACAAAAUCUGCAUGUCCAUAAUAAUAAUGGAGAUGAUCACAAAACCCAAGCGAGACGAAUGGCGUCGUCUCUACAACACUCCUAUUUGGGUCCCCAGCAGUCCAAGUAGAUGAGCUUGGACAAGGACCUCUCGGUGCGCUUGGCUCUCUCCACCGCUCCCUCCCCUCCUUUCCUCCACUGAUCAACGGACGACCAAGACAUCCUCUUGGCCUGAGAGAGCGUCGCCAUGCUGCGUUUCGCCCGCUGGUGGAGGGACCCAACCGUGUAGUUCCAUCGGCACAGCCCUGCUUGAUCCUUGAGCGCCUCCACAGCCGCCAUGCUCGCUGCGAUUAUCAACGAAGCCUUGCUUGCCGAAACCAUACGUAUCAAUCGCCUGCUCUGAGUUUGAAUCUGUGUAACAGAAGUGAGUGUUCGACGGGGAAAGGGAAAGAGCACACGACAGUCCAUAUAAAGCCCGGAACGGAGGGCGGCUGCAGGGAAGGGAGAGGUGGAGGAAGGAGGAAACUGGGGAUGAGCUGCUGCUGCUGCUGGUUUUGGGUUGCUGUUGUUUUCCAGAUACGGAGGGCUUUCGGUAGGCACUUAAAAAAUAUCCAUCUACUAAAGCAGAAGCAAAGCCACACGGAUCGAAAAAUGGUGGGCUCGACUUGCAGUGGGUGCACGAGGAAACUGGGAAUCCAGCGACGCAGAUAUGGAUUGUUCUGUCAGCUGGGUUGUCCUGUUUAUUUGGUUUUUGCCUUCAGCUCUGGUUAAGAAUUAGGGUUCGAUCAAUAUCAAUAAUGAUGCUCGAAUUACGAAACAAGUAACUAUAUCAAUACAUAGAUUCCUUUGUUGGUAACUCAUCUGGAAUGACGCGAGCUUAGCCAUCCAUCAUUGCUGGAAAGUAUUUGUGUGAGUUGAAAACUGUGGUGAAAGUGUAGGAAGUUUACUGUCUCACCGAGAAAGAGAACACUUUGGCGAAGAAUUCAGAUCGAUGGACACAAGGAAAACAUUUCUAACAUGCUUAUCCACGCCAUGAAAACGCAUCAUCCAUCAUGCACGCUCCAAGAAUUCAGAAGAAAUGGUUGAUGAAUAUACAUCAUCAAAGCUGGAUAAUUUACAGUGGAGAAGUAAGCUGAAGCAAAAGGAUCCUCUAAUUGGGACCCCAACAGCUCAAGUACAUGACUGUUCUCAGCGCCUCCUCCGACUGCUUCCCCUUCUCCGCCGCCGCCUGCCACCCUCUCCUACUCCUGUCGACGGAGGAAGAUGUCCUCUUGGCCUGAGACAACGACCCCAUGCUGCUCUUCGCCCGCUGCUGUAGGGAUCUGACGACGUAGUUCCACCGGCACAGCCCCGCCUGAUCCUUGAGCGCCUCCACCGCGCUCAUGCUCGCUGCCACCACCACACAAGCCCUGCUUGUACAACCCAUCUCUUCAAUACCUCCCGAGUGAGUGCAAAGAGGAAGUAGCUUGUAGUUCUCUUCUCUCGAUCUGAUGCAGCAGUGGGAAGGGAAUUGUGUGCAAUAUAUAAGGCCACAAUAGUUGAAGACGAUAAGAGGAUAAGAUGGAUGGGGGACAGAGGGAAGAGGAGAGUGCCGCUGCUGGGUUUGUGCUUUCCGAUUCCUUUUCCCCCAAACCAGGGGCUCUAUGCCAUUUGCUUAUUGGCCUCCACUUGCUGAACUGGACCCAGCGAAGUAGAUUGGCGGCGUGUGCGAACGCACGUACCUGGGUGAGGUUCUUCUGACCUGUAUGCAUAAUAUGCGUUUGCAUAUGAGGAAAAUAUUGGUUUUGAUAGGAUAAAUAAUAAUCCGGUCAAAACUCAUCCCAUCAUCUUGAUUAAAGAAGUCACCUCAACCAUAAGAGAAGGCCUACAUGCAUGUAUUGAAGCAAAACGAUACGGCGACACAAGAAGCCAUCCUCCGCCUAUCUCGGACAAGCCAAGAGCCCUAACAAAACAUAUAAUCACAGAUGUCCUAUCCUGACGUCAUUCUUUAGAGGAUGCACUCGUCAACUACCACAAUCGAUAAUCCCUUGGCAGGGUAAGGGACACCCUAACCCAUCAUUGGCUUUACGCCAUCAAUCACUCAGGUAUAAAACCCAAGCCCCUAAGCCAAACGGGGACAGGCAGACUCUAUCUCAGCUCUUCUAAGAUCUACUAAACCCCCUUCACAUACUAUACUAACUUCGGUGUCGGAGGGAUCGGGUCGGGACAUCCUCCAAUGUCGAUCGCUUGUGCAGGGCUCAUGCAUAUCUAAGGAGCACCUCAGAGUGAUGCUGAGCGCUUUUAGACAAGGCCAAGACACCCCUCGAGAUGACCUAAAACUUCUACCAAUAGACAAGUUGCACCUUGGGACGAUCGUGAGUCAACUACCAUAAGCCAACAAUGCUUUGGAAGUCCACUUGCCACCUCGGCUACUCACUCGAGUCGCCUCAUCCAUGUAGGUGCGGACCCCAAGGAUGGAUCUACACCUUCGGGAUCGAACCAGGUUGUGUUAACUCUCCGGUCAAUAGUACUAAUGUAACGACAUUUUAGCACUGAAAGGAGGGCCCGAAUGUCGCAAGAAUAUUCAUCCACGACUUUCCCUGAUGAACUAUCAUGAACUUAGCUGAAAUUGCCUAAGCCAUGAGGCACUAUUAUGGCAAAGUCUUAGACUUAGCUUGAGUUGUCUAAGUCGUAAAACACCCUUGCGCCAAUUUCUCAAACUUAGCUGGGAUUGCUUGAGUCAUAACGCGCCCAAACGAUAUGCGGCCACAAAGGGUCAAUCAAUUUGCAACCUCACUCAGGCCUUGAAAGACCUGUAAAAAAAAAAGUGAACUAGUUCAAAAACGAGUGACGGACAAGUCCCCACGUCUCAUAAAAAGGGAAGCUUUAUAAGCAAUUCAAUGAGCACCUUAUGUGCAUGGGAGAAAAGAGAGGAAUGAGAAAAACAAGGACUUUAAAAAGUUGAAGGAAUAGUUGCAAGUCCAUAAACAACUGCUCACCGGGUGUUGGGCGCAAAGGCAAGUCCCCGUCAAGUUAACAUACAAACUUAUGAAGAUUUUUCAAUGCCCGACACUACCCCAAAGCUCCAUUUCCCUUGGUGCCACCCGGGGGAUUCUAGGAUGCUGAGAUGGCUGACAUUUUACGUGUAGUAACGGGCUAUAGAAAACAACCUAUGGCAUAUGAAAAUAAAGUCAUUUUGGGACAGUUUUGCCCGACACAACGAGUGGUUGCACUAUAACACUGAACCUAUUCGAAUAUACAUUUUUAUAGCAAAAACACAUAAAACCAAGGCAAAAUAUGUUGCCAAGCAUUUAUACAUAUAUGCAAAAGUGACGAACGGUUCGUUGAAUGAAGUUGUGUGGGUGUGCGACGAUCGUUCGUGUUAGAAUACUCUAGUAAAGAAGCGUUGCCACUGGUACUUGAUGCCUUCGGACGGGAAGGACAACUUAUGUCCUUCCCUCAGGUGGACACCUUCACCUUGGCACAAACACCGAGAUGUCAUUGACAUAUGUUUAACGAUCUUUGGGAUUGAGUGCGGGACACCUACUCAACCCAUUUGAUGCCUUCCUAAGACUCACAUAUCAAGUGCAAGCACUUGUCGGUAUGAUGUAGGUGAUUGCCCCUCUCCUAACCCAACUAAUAUAGUAGGCAGCCUCGACACUACGGCCAGCAAUCCAACCCCUGCUCGCCGACUUGCCUUAAGGAGUAUCCCCAGCCAGCUCCCAACAAAUGCCCCUGAAAUGCCAUCACCAAGCUAAGGUGGCUCUCGAAGCGUAAAUACCCUCGAUAAUAGAGCUCAGUGUCCCAUCGUAUCGCAAGGUGUCCAUGGCCAGAUCGGGGUCAUAGUUCAUUAACUCGAUCGAGAAUUCACUCAAAGUAUAACUUCGGGCCUUGAACCAGCGUCUAAACAAUGUAUAAAAAGAAUUUCUGCAUUUAAAGGAUGAAUAUGACACCUCGAAUGCCUCCCCAUUCGCUCAAAGCAUUCAAGAGGAGCCCAUUUUGGCUAACUUCUGCCCCUCAUUGCUAGAGGCCUUCAAUAGCAGCUCUGAUCCAAUGGAGCACAUUGUAGCCUUUAGGGCUCAGAUGUCAUUAUUUGACACAUCAGACACCUUAAUGUGCUGGGCAUUUCCCACGACCCUAAGUGGGCCAGCUCAAGAGUAUUAUAGUCGCUUGAAACCCCUCUUGAUCACCUCCUUCCUGUAGCUUGCAAAAGAAUUUGAGCACCAUUUUCUCGCUAAUGUGCCCCCAAAGCCAUCCAUAGCCAUGCUGCUCGGGUUGAGAUGGAGGGAAGAUGAGCUUCUCUCCUACUUCGUCGAUCAAUUUAUCGAUGAGAUUCGAGGGAUCCCAGAUGCCCAUCCCUCGUUGGUGACCCAGACUUUCAUGAUGGGCCUGAGGCGUACAUGCUUCGUCUAGUCACUAGUGGAAAAAAUGCUCACAACCAUGUUCGAAAUGCUGCAAAGGGCUAAUCACUAUGUAUCCGCUGAGGACAUGAUCUCAAGUUGAGUAGUUAGAAAAUAUAUUUGAAGAAUUAUAUAAUAAGUUGAUUGAUCAUAAAAUAUAUUUAAAACAAGGACAGAGAUGAGACCAACUAUCACAACACAAUUCAAUUAAAAAUCUAGAAGAAAAAGUAAUCAAAGCAACAAGAACUUCAAUAAAGGACCAAACAAGAUGCCUCCCGGACAUAUGAGUAACAUAUAAAGCCAUCAUCCUCCGUUAUACCAUUAAAGCAACAGCUACAGUGGCAACUUCAAUCCAAACAACUCAAAAAAUAACUUUAAUUAUAAUUAUCAAUAAUUUUGGCAUCCCGACAAUAACAAUCAGCAAAAGGUCAUCUACUAGCUCUAUGAUAAAAUUGGGCACGCAAUAAAAGUUUAUUGAUUUGGACCCAAGUCCACUACUACACCUAAUUGGCCUCAAGCAAACAUCAUGGCUACUCUGACUGCUCAUCCAAGUAAUUGAAUUAUUAACUCUGAUACUUCUCAUCAUAUCACAUUUAAUUUAUAGAAUUUAUUUAUUCACAACGACUAUAGAGGCAAUGAAGAUAUUAUCAUUGGUGAUAGUAAUAAAAUCUCUAUUACUUACACUGGUCUCACGAUACUUAAUCUAUAUAUAAACACUUUUACACUCAAUGAUAUUUUAUGUAUACAUCAUAUUAAAAGGAAUCUUUUUUUUAUUUUAUAAAUAAAAUAAUAUAUUUAUUAAUUUUUUUUACUUAUUUCUUGUAAAGGAUCUGAGCCCAAGAAUAUCCUUGGUUCGAGACUAGAAUAAAAUAACAAGUGUGAGUGACCGUUAACUUCAUAAAUCACCCAACCAAUCGCUUUUGUUUCAAUUACUACUCCGAUCGAUGUGUGACAUCAUCGCUUUCGUCAUCCAUCAUACAUUAUUCAAUGAUAACUAAUUUCUCCCUUUCUAUUUCCAAAUAAAGUAGAAUUGUAAUAUGCUUGUCUUAGUAAUAAAAAUCACAUACUAUCUUUUGGAAUGUCUUCCAUAUUAUACUCCAAACAACUUGAAAUUAUUUAUACUAAUGUCUAAGGCCUUAUUCUAACCAAUUCCUUUAAUAAUUUUAGAUUUUAUGUUAUUUUUAUAAAUUAUUUUACUAAAUAUAUAUUACUAUAUUCCCUCAAACAUAUGAAGUUAUCAUAGUUUUUACUUAUUUUAAAAAAGUGAUCGAGAAUUUCUUCUAAGCUAUUAUUAAAAUAAUUUACUUUAACGAAAGAGGUGAAUACUAAGCUAUGAUGACUUACCUCUCAACUAGUUAGCUUUGCUAAAUGAAAACACAGACACAUAACUGAAACAUGUCUCACCCUCAUACACUAAGCAUCUAUGCUGCUAAUCUUUUGAUCAAUAAUCUUUCAAACUAUAGUCUACCUCAUUAACUGUAUACUCACCUUUAAUCCUACAACACCAGUUAUUUAAAAAAUUAUUUUAUAAAAUUAUAAAUUUUUAAAAACUCAAAGUAUUUGAUUGUUUAUGUUAUUCAUUACUACGUCCUUAUACUUUACAUAAGUUAACACCAAGAUUCAAACUUUAUAUCUUUGAUGUUAUAAUUCUAAAACUCAAAAGAUCUUUAUAUCACGUCAUAUUAUCUUUGUUACAUCUUUCUCUUUCAAAAUCUUAUUCCUUCAUCAAUAUAAACCAAUAUAACAAUCAUCCAUUAUUGGAUUCAUACGAGUACACCUUAAACCCCUAACCCCUCCUCCCCCUCAAAUACACUUCCCACAACAUCAAUCAAUAGUUAUCUAGACCGCCUCCCCCCCUCCCCUCAAACACACCUCUCACGACAUCAAUCAAUAGUUCUCUUUACUCUAGUCUCCUCUGUUAGGUAAUAUUGAAAUGCAUAAACUUAAUUAAAUAAGUGUCACCAACCCUCAAAUACACUUCCCACAGGCACCCUGCUUGAUCCAAGCCAUGAAAACGCAUCAUCCAUCAUGCAUGCCCUAGGAAUUCAGAAGAAAUGGUUUUAUAUACAUCAUCAAAGCCGGAUAAUUUACAGAGGAGAAGUAAGCUGAAGCAAAAGGAUCCUCUAAUUGGGACCCCAACGGCUCAAGUACAUGACUGUUCUCAGCGCCUCCUCCGACUGCUUCCCCUUCUCCGCCGCCGCCUGCCACCCUCUCCUCCUCCUGUCGACGGAGGAAGAUGUCCUCUUGGCCUGAGACAACGACCCCAUGCUGCUCUUCGC
RNAcentral lists this long non-coding RNA (8701 nucleotides) under Musa acuminata (dwarf banana). RNAcentral's name for it is "long non-coding RNA (MACU_LNC005570)". Lineage: Eukaryota; Viridiplantae; Streptophyta; Magnoliopsida; Zingiberales; Musaceae. The record is from RNAcentral.